This 71-nucleotide transfer RNA is filed under the name Loxodonta africana (African savanna elephant). It matches the Rfam family "tRNA". From Rfam's summary of the family: Transfer RNA (tRNA) molecules are approximately 80 nucleotides in length. Their secondary structure includes four short double-helical elements and three loops (D, anti-codon, and T loops). The record is from Rfam by way of RNAcentral. Lineage: Eukaryota; Metazoa; Chordata; Mammalia; Proboscidea; Elephantidae.
GCAGUAGUGGUUCAAUGGUAGAAUUUUCACCUUCCAUGUGGGAGACCCAGGUUCAAUUCCCAGCCACUACU